This 497-nucleotide ribosomal RNA is filed under the name uncultured bacterium. Its description in RNAcentral is "partial 16S ribosomal RNA". It matches the Rfam family "Bacterial small subunit ribosomal RNA", at positions 28 to 507 of the family's 1533-position model. The record is from RNAcentral.
GAUGAACGCUGGCGGCGUGCCUAAUACAUGCAAGUCGAGCGAACGGACGAGAAGCUUGCUUUUCUGAUGUUAGCGGCGGACGGGUGAGUAACACGUGGAUAACCUACCUAUAAGACUGGGAUAACUUCGGGAAACCGGAGCUAAUACCGGAUAAUAUUUUGAACCGCAUGGUUCAAAAGUUAAAGACGGUCUUUCUGUCACUUAUAGAUGGAUCCUCGCUGCAUUAGCUAGUUGGUAAGGUAACGGCUUACCAAGGCAACGAUGCAUAGCCGACAUGAGAGGGUGAUCGGCCACACUGGAACUGAGACACGGUCCAGACUACUACGGGAGGCAGCAGUAGGGAAUCUUCCGCAAUGGGCGAAAGCAUGACGGAGCAACGCCGCGUGAGUGAUGAAGGUCUUCGGAUCGUAAAACUCUGUUAUUAGGGAAGAACAUAUGUGUAAGUAACUGUGCACAUCUUGACGGUACCUAAUCAGAAAGCCACGGCUAACUACGUG